AGAGUUGGUCUAGAGGUUGCGGAAUCAUUUUAUCAAUGAUUCCGAGGAAAGUCCGAACUCCCGAAAGACCACACUUGCUGGAUAACGUCCAGUGCGCGCGAGCGUGAGGAUAGUGCCACAGAAAAAUACCGCCCCCUUUUUUCAGUGUUGCCAAAGGCACGGCGUAGCCGUCCAGUAAACAGUGAUCAGUAAACAGUAACGAAAGUAAAUUCACUGAUAACUAAUAACUUUCCACUGAUAACUGAUAACUGAUCACUGAUAACUGAUUGGGGGUAAGGGUGCAAAGGUGCGGUAAGAGCGCACCAGCAGUAUCGAGAGGUGCUGGCUCGGUAAACCCCGGUGGGGAGCAAGGUGGAGGGACAAAGGUUGGUCUUUUUCCUGUCCCGUUUUUAGGAACCGCUUGAGGUAAUUGGUAACAAUUAUCCCAGAUAGAUAACCUCUAUUCCAACAAAGGUAAAAGCAAUUUUACUGCUGUUGGGAAAUACAGAAUUCGGCUUAUGUCUGACUCUCUCC
Molecule: RNase P RNA, 513 nt
Filed under: Microcystis aeruginosa L211-07
Lineage: Bacteria; Bacillati; Cyanobacteriota; Cyanophyceae; Chroococcales; Microcystaceae
Description: RNase P RNA component class A
Rfam family: Bacterial RNase P class A
About the family: Ribonuclease P (RNase P) is a ubiquitous endoribonuclease, found in archaea, bacteria and eukarya as well as chloroplasts and mitochondria.
Source: RNAcentral